This 482-nucleotide ribosomal RNA is filed under the name uncultured bacterium. Its description in RNAcentral is "bacterial SSU rRNA". It matches the Rfam family "Bacterial small subunit ribosomal RNA", at positions 29 to 506 of the family's 1533-position model. The record is from RNAcentral.
UUGAACGCUGGCGGCAUGCUUUACACAUGCAAGUCGAACGGCAGCACGGGGGCAACCCUGGUGGCGAGUGGCGAACGGGUGAGUAACACAUCGGAACGUACCCUGUCGUGGGGGAUAACACAUCGAAAGAUGUGCUAAUACCGCAUACGACCUGAGGGUGAAAGCGGGGGAUCGCAAGACCUCGCGCGAUAGGAGCGGCCGAUGUCGGAUUAGCUGGUUGGUGGGGUAAAGGCCUACCAAGGCGACGAUCCGUAGCUGGUCUGAGAGGAUGAUCAGCCACACUGGGACUGAGACACGGCCCAGACUCCUACGGGAGGCAGCAGUGGGGAAUUUUGGACAAUGGGCGCAAGCCUGAUCCAGCCAUGCCGCGUGAGUGAAGAAGGCCUUCGGGUUGUAAAGCUCUUUCAGACGGAAAGAAAUCGGGCGGGUGAAUAGCCUGCCUGGAUGACGGUACUGUCAGAAGAAGCACCGGCUAACUACGU